UGCCGAGGUACACUGAUGAGCUAGACC
This 27-nucleotide non-coding RNA is filed under the name Homo sapiens (human). The record is from RNAcentral. Lineage: Eukaryota; Metazoa; Chordata; Mammalia; Primates; Hominidae.